This is a long non-coding RNA of Dalotia coriaria, 532 nucleotides long. RefSeq lists it as uncharacterized. The transcript has 2 exons. NCBI's taxonomy places the organism in Eukaryota, Metazoa, Arthropoda, Insecta, Coleoptera, Staphylinidae. The record is from RefSeq and is a predicted model, not a curated record.
AUUAAUUAUAAUUGUCACCCGUCAAGGAAAGUAUCACCGAAUAAAAUUCCCCUUCAAGUUGGGCUAUUUCAAGCUUCCAAAUCAUCACAUGUCCAUCCAUUUUUACAAUAACAUUUCCAUCAUUUUGAAAUGCAGUUAAAUUAUCAUCCAAGAGAUGAUCCGACAGCUGGACGUCCAAAUUCCAGGAGGACACUGGAGAGACUUGAGAGAUCAGGCAGGCAUGCCUAUUAAGAACAAAGAAGAAGAAGAAGAAUUAUCAUAAACGUUAAAUUCCUUCCUCAGACAAUGAAAUUGUGCAAUUAACAUAACUAUUAAGAGCGCGCUUUUAUUUUACCCUAUAUUCUUCAAAUACGCUUUAAUGGCACAAAGGAAUUAUUAUUUCUUGGGUGUUGUAGAUUUGACAAUGCUGCCAGAAUACCAUUCAAAAUAUCAUUUUUGGAAGAAUGUAGAAUAUUUGCAAAUCAUUAACGUUUCUACAUGAUUCAUAAUAAACGUGUAGUCUUAAAUUCAGCUAAUAAAUAAUUUAUAAGAA